RNAcentral lists this ribosomal RNA (342 nucleotides) under Ooencyrtus telenomicida. RNAcentral's name for it is "eukaryotic LSU rRNA". It matches the Rfam family "Eukaryotic large subunit ribosomal RNA", at positions 1 to 324 of the family's 3401-position model. Lineage: Eukaryota; Metazoa; Arthropoda; Insecta; Hymenoptera; Encyrtidae. The record is from RNAcentral.
UGACGACCUCAGAGCAGGCGAGACUACCCGCUGAAUUUAAGCAUAUUACUAAGCGGAGGAAAAGAAACUAACAAGGAUUUCCUUAGUAGCGGCGAGCGAACAGGAAUUAGCCCAGCACUGAAUCCCGCGGUUCUGCCGUUGGGAAAUGUAGUGUUCGGGAGGGUUCGUUUAUCCCGCGGCGUCGGACCGCGUCCAAGUCCAUCUUGAAUGGGGCCAUUUACCCGUAGAGGGUGCCAGGCCCGUAGCGACCGGGACGCGCCGUGGGUGAACCUCUCCUUAGAGUCGGGUUGCUUGAGAGUGCAGCUCUAAGUUGGUGGUAAACUCCAUCUAAGGCUAAAUAUG